AAGUCGUAACAAGGUAACCGUAGGUGAACCUGCGGUUGGAUCAUUACUAAAUGAUGUCAAUGCCUGGCUCCUGCGUUGAGUAAUUUCUCGCAGUUGCAGCCUCGCUAUUGAUUUUCUAACCAUUGUGCACCAUAAUGUCUCUGGGAAGUGCUGUGGCCUCCCGACUUAUUCAACCAUUUAUUUUUGUCUGAUUUUUGAUUCUUAUGAAUUAAAUACAACUUUUGGCAACGGAUCUCUUGGCUCUC
RNAcentral lists this unclassified non-coding RNA (245 nucleotides) under fungal sp. RNAcentral describes it as "partial internal transcribed spacer region". The stretch from base 1 to 46 matches the Rfam family "Eukaryotic small subunit ribosomal RNA", at positions 1786 to 1831 of the family's 1831-position model. The record is from RNAcentral. Lineage: Eukaryota; Fungi.